UUUCCGUAGGUGAACCUGCGGAAGGAUCAUUAUUGUAUAACCGAGGUGCGAGGGCUGUCGCUGACCCGAAAGGUCGUGCACGCCCGAGUGCCCUCACACACAUCCAUCUCACCCCUAUUUGCACCACCGCGUGGGUCCCCCUUUGGCUUGUUCGGAGGGGGGCUUACGUUUUCACACAAACUUUGUAUGCAGUGUAGAAUGUAUUUUUUGUUUUUGCGAUCACGCAAUCAAUUCAACUUUCAACAACGGAUCUCUUGGCUCUC
RNAcentral lists this unclassified non-coding RNA (263 nucleotides) under plant metagenome. RNAcentral's name for it is "partial contains small subunit ribosomal RNA, internal transcribed spacer 1, and 5.8S ribosomal RNA". The record is from RNAcentral.